Molecule: ribosomal RNA, 381 nt
Filed under: uncultured marine Chaetocerotaceae
Lineage: Eukaryota; Bacillariophyta; Thalassiosirophyceae; Chaetocerotales; Chaetocerotaceae
Description: SSU rRNA
Rfam family: Eukaryotic small subunit ribosomal RNA
Source: RNAcentral
AGCUCCAAUAGCGUAUAUUAAAGUUGCUGCAGUUAAAAAGCUCGUAGUUGCAUUUCCGAGGCAAGGGAUUAGUCCGACCUUUGGUGGGUAUUUAAUCCUCUUGCCUCGUCCUUGAGUGGUGCUUCUUGGUAUUAAGUUAUCGAGGAGAUAGCCGCUCAUCGUUUACUGUGAGAAAAUUAGAGUGUUCAAAGCAGGCUUAUGCCGUUGAAUAUAUUAGCAUGGAAUAAUAAGAUAGGACCUCGGUACUAUUUUGUUGGUUUGAGAACCAAGGUAAUGAUGAAUAGGGACAGUUGGGGGUAUUCGUAUUCAGUUGUCAGAGGUGAAAUUCUUAGAUUUACGUAAGACGAACUACUGCGAAAGCAUUUACCAAGGAUGUUUGCA